UGACGUUAGUAUUACAUCAUAAAUGUUGUACCAAUUACAUGUAAUUAUUGUACAAUUAAUGACGUCAUAGACAUCCAGUGUAUAAUGCUAAAAAUUGUAUUAAACAUGGUGUUUACUGGAAAGUUUUCAGCAGAAAAGAGAGCAUACAUAAAACUAGUGGGGAAAACUGGAAUGCGUACAGCUAAAGAAGUUGCAGAAGAAUGCGGAGUGUCUUUGCCAAGUGUAUAUAGAAUAUGGAAUGAGAAAUUUAAAAAGGAUUUCAAACAAAAGCAGAAAAACGAAAGAGGUGGUGGCAGGCCUGAGAAACUGACUUUAAGACAAAAACGCUCUGUUCUGCGAAAUAUUAAUAUUUUAAGAGAGGAAAAUAGCAAUUUUACUUCUAAAAAAUUGCUUCUCAACUCAGGAAUAAACCCAAAGGAUAUUUCUUCACGCACAUUGCGGCGUUUUUUGAAUAAAAAUGGAUACCAUUAUCUGCAAGCAAGGAAAAAAGGAAUAUUAAGUAAGACUGAUAUUCGAAAGCGAUAUAACUUUGCAAAAAUUAUGAAAAAGGAUUACAGCAGUGAGGUUUGGACAAAGCAAAUAGCGUUUUAUCUGGAUGGAGUUAGCUUCACACACAAAACAAAUCCAGCGGACGAGGCCAGAGCACCAAAAGACAGAAUCUGGAGAAAACCUAAUGAAGGCAUGGAUAGAGGAUGCACGGCCAAGGGCAGUCACGAAGGAUCUGGGGGGAAGCUUGUCAAAAUGAUGGUUGCAAUAAGCCAUGGGGCAGGCGUUGUGCUAUGCGAUCAGUAUAAUAAGUUAGACGGGCCGUAUUUUAAAGAUCUGGUGCUCAGAGAAUUUCCCCAAAU
Paramuricea clavata is the source of this 848-nucleotide non-coding RNA. NCBI's taxonomy places the organism in Eukaryota, Metazoa, Cnidaria, Anthozoa, Malacalcyonacea, Plexauridae. The record is from the annotation of a GenBank genome assembly.